RNAcentral lists this ribosomal RNA (293 nucleotides) under uncultured bacterium. RNAcentral's name for it is "partial 16S ribosomal RNA". It matches the Rfam family "Archaeal small subunit ribosomal RNA", at positions 455 to 747 of the family's 1478-position model. The record is from RNAcentral.
GUGCCAGCAGCCGCGGUAAUACCGGCAGCCCGAGUGAUGGCUGAUAUUAUUGGGCCUAAAGCGUCCGUAGCUGGCCAGACAAGUCCGUUGGGAAAUCCACGCGCUCAACGCGUGGGCGUCCAGCGGAAACUAUCCGGCUUGGGGCCGGAAGACUCGAGGGGUACGUCCGGGGUAGGAGUGAAAUCCCGUAAUCCUGGACGGACCACCGGUGGCGAAAGCGCCUCGAGAAGACGGACCCGACGGUGAGGAACGAAAGCCAGGGUCUCCAACCGGAUUAGAAACCCGUGUAGUCC